CAGGGAGACAAAAACUGAUCUUGAUGUUUGAUUAUUUUAUUUUUAAGCCAAGAUCCUGUCACUUUAGGUCGAUCGGUACCUCAAAUUAAUUAACGAGUUUAUUCAUAUUUUGAAUAAAUUAAAUUAUUAAUUUCAGUUCCUAAACUUGUCUAGGUCACACCCCACAAGGGUUACUCCUGGGCCAUUAGCUCAGGUGGUUAGAGCGCACCCCUGAUAAGGGUGAGGUCCCUGGUUCAAGUCCAGGAUGGCCCAUUCGGUGUUGGGGGUAUAGCUCAGUUGGUAGAGCGCCUGCUUUGCAAGCAGGAUGUCAGCGGUUCGAGUCCGCUUACCUCCACUGGCCGACCCCUUUCAGCGAUUUAGUCUGAGGCCCUUUGUGUGAUGUAUGUGAUUUAGAAAGUCCGCUGAUUUGAACCUAGCUUCCUCUCAUCCCAUUCCUUGAUUAGGUAAGGUUGAUAGGACGCUGGGCUCACUCCACUCCUGAAAUGGAAGGAGGUAGUUCAGUAGAACCUUGACAACUGCAUAGUGAGUCUGGAAAAAAUAAAGCAUCUCAUGGAUGCAUUAUUUUACCUCUAAUUCUUAAGCUUCUAGCUAGAGAAUUAAGGUGAAUUAGUGUUAUUUCUUGAGCAAGAGCCGAGACUCUAUAGUUUUCUUCUUAUUUAUUCAUAAUAUAAGGAGUUUGAUUUUUAAUUCAGUUUUUCUGAUGAUUAGAUGUUUUCUAAUUUAUCUAAAGAAUAAAUUUGAAUUAAAGAGAAUAGCGUUUUCAACUACGCAUUUUCUAUAGAGAUUAAUUU
RNAcentral lists this transfer RNA (791 nucleotides) under uncultured cyanobacterium. RNAcentral's name for it is "partial 16S-23S ribosomal RNA intergenic spacer". The stretch from base 262 to 334 matches the Rfam family "tRNA". The record is from RNAcentral. Lineage: Bacteria; Bacillati; Cyanobacteriota.